ACGAACGCUGGCGGCGUGCUUAACACAUGCAAGUCGAACGGAAAGGCCCUGCUUUUGUGGGGUGCUCGAGUGGCGAACGGGUGAGUAACACGUGAGUAACCUGCCCUUGACUUUGGGAUAACUUCAGGAAACUGGGGCUAAUACCGGAUAGGAGCUCCUGCUGCAUAGUGGGGGUUGGAAAGUUUCGGCGGUUGGGGAUGGACUCGCGGCUUAUCAGCUUGUUGGUGGGGUAGUGGCUUACCAAGGCUUUGACGGGUAGCCGGCCUGAGAGGGUGACCGGCCACAUUGGGACUGAGAUACGGCCCAGACUCCUACGGGAGGCAGCAGUGGGGAAUAUUGCACAAUGGGCGGAAGCCUGAUGCAGCAACGCCGCGUGCGGGAUGACGGCCUUCGGGUUGUAAACCGCUUUCGCCUGUGACGAAGCGUGAGUGACGGUAAUGGGUAAAGAAGCAUCGGCUAACUACGUG
RNAcentral lists this ribosomal RNA (467 nucleotides) under uncultured bacterium. RNAcentral describes it as "partial 16S ribosomal RNA". It matches the Rfam family "Bacterial small subunit ribosomal RNA", at positions 29 to 507 of the family's 1533-position model. The record is from RNAcentral.